CACGUAGGGUGCGAGCGUUGUCCGGAAUUAUUGGGCGUAAAGAGCUCGUAGGCGGUGUGUCGCGUCGGCCGUGAAAACCUGCAGCUUAACUGUGGGCUUGCGGUCGAUACGGGCAGGCUAGAGUUCGGUAGGGGAGACUGGAAUUCCUGGUGUAGCGGUGAAAUGCGCAGAUAUCAGGAGGAACACCGAUGGCGAAGGCAG
RNAcentral lists this ribosomal RNA (201 nucleotides) under uncultured bacterium. Its description in RNAcentral is "partial 16S ribosomal RNA". It matches the Rfam family "Bacterial small subunit ribosomal RNA", at positions 524 to 724 of the family's 1533-position model. The record is from RNAcentral.